UCAUGGCUGGCUCAGACGGUAAAGCAUCUGCCUGCAGUGCAGAAAACCUGGGUUCAGUCCCUGGGUUGGGAA
This 72-nucleotide transfer RNA is filed under the name Bos taurus (domestic cattle). It matches the Rfam family "tRNA". From Rfam's summary of the family: Transfer RNA (tRNA) molecules are approximately 80 nucleotides in length. Their secondary structure includes four short double-helical elements and three loops (D, anti-codon, and T loops). The record is from Rfam by way of RNAcentral. RNAcentral also lists the same sequence under 4 other names. Lineage: Eukaryota; Metazoa; Chordata; Mammalia; Artiodactyla; Bovidae.